RNAcentral lists this long non-coding RNA (2394 nucleotides) under Salvia miltiorrhiza (redroot sage). RNAcentral describes it as "long non-coding RNA (SMIL_LNC006092)". The record is from RNAcentral. Lineage: Eukaryota; Viridiplantae; Streptophyta; Magnoliopsida; Lamiales; Lamiaceae.
CCAUCCCAUCCCCUUCCCUCCCGUCUCUAUUUCCCUACCGCGCCCCGCCCCGCCCCGCCCCUCCCACCACUGCGAUCUGUUUCGCCGGACCACCCCGUCCCGUUCCCCCACCGCGAUCUGCCCCCUCCCAUCUCCACACCGGUUCUUUCUCCCCCAAAAUUCCCAAAUCUUAAUUUCACAGACUCUCCCUCCCCCGUGUCGAUUCGCCGUCCUAAGUCAGCGCCGCCGCCCCUUCUCCUUUCCCCGUUUCAACACCAGAGUCUCCCUCCCUCGCUUCAAUUCGCCGCAGUUCGGCCCCAAGUCAGUGUCGCCGCCCCUUCCUCCCGUUUCAACACCAGACUCUCUCUUCCCGCAACAGCCCUACCCCCAAGUCGGCGCUGCCGCCAAUGGGUGCCUUGCGUCUGGCACCACCGCCGUCAAUCCGCCGGACAUUACUUGCUUUAAUGUUAUUAAGGUUAAACUUGUUGGAAAUAUGGUUUUAUGCCAUAUCUGAAAAUUAUUAUUUAAUUAAAUAUUUAUUAUUUAAUUAAAAUAAUUAUUGGAUGUUAAUCUACACCUCGAGUAGAUCAACGUGAUAUACUUGAAGUCUCAAAACCGAUUUCCGGUGAGUGAGAUAUUGCAUGUCAAAGUUUGGAAGUUGAAGAGGGAAAAUCAGUUUCAACUUCUGCGUUCAACGAUUGCGGCCACCUACCGCAGCCGCCGGAGUUGACUGCCGUCCGUUCACACCGGCAGUUCACACCUUACGUUCACACCUUCCGUUCACACUAGGUUUAACACCUAUAAAUAUGGGUGUGUUGUGAGCUUCAGAAUAAACGAAUUCACUCACAACUCAUAACUCACAACAUAUUCUGCAUUCCACCUCAACCUCUAGCUCAGUUCUUGAUCCUUAUUCAGUUCGCCGGAGCUCGUCGGAUUGUGGUGCUACAUCCGACGAGACGAAGUCGUUUUACCUUUGGGGAAGAUACGCCUAAACCGAAGAGCACUACCGGGGCGAUAAUCUUCUUGCGGGAAGAGAUUCAUCUCGACUCGACUUAUUUUAUACGUAUAAUUUAUUUAUACUGUAUAUUUCAGUUGUAUAAAAUUAUUUGAGUUGUAAUUUCUCAAAUUAUUUUCUUUGUAAUAUUUUCAAUUAUUUUGAGUUGUAAUAUCUCAAAAUAUUUAUUGUAAUAUCUCGAUCGUGUACCCGGUUCUAACAAAACUUACUUUAAUUUCACAUUCAUGUGGUUGUUUAUGCAGACUCUGAGCGACGUAAUAUGAUAUUUUGGAAAUAGUUGUUGCUCGCUGCCUAUGGCUCAUGACCAGCUAUUGUUGAGGUGAGCUUGCAGUAGCUUUGGAGUUAUUCGUCUUUCUGCAGUAUCGAUGGGUUGGGCUUAAUUUUCUUAUUCCAAAACAUAUUGUCGUUUUGCAUCAAAAUAAAUUGAUAACUCAGCUGGGUUCAGCUUAAUAUAGCUCAAAACUUUCUUCUUUUGCUGUGUUUAGGGAGCAGAGCAAGCCUUGCAGGAAAGAAGGUCCGAGUCUUGGUGUUUUGAGCUCGAUUAUUUGGUACUUAGGUUUUGUGUUCUAGCGAGGAAGAGAAUGUAUGCGAAUAGUAGUAGAUCGUCUUGUCAUGUGCAUAGUUAGACUAAUCUGGUCCGAAAUGGUUGUGUGUGCGUGUAUGAUUUUGUUUUUUGCAAGUGUUUCUAAUGUAGAAUGCAUAGUGUAUGCUGAUUUUGUUUUUUGGAAGUAAAUGGUUAGUAAUGUAGAAUGCAGAAUUUAUGUAUGCUGAUUCUGUUAUCAUUUUUAUUUUCUGUUUCAAGUUAAAGAUAGCAUCUACAUGGAUUUUUCUUGCACUAACAACUUCUUUUUUAUUUGCAUUUUUUUUCCUAAUUCAAUUGGUAGGGGCGCUGGUGCUGUACCGAGUCAGGAGAAGGGGGGAUUCCUUGGUGUGGUGUGUGUGUUGUUGGCUAAGUAGUCGAAUCAGGGGCAGAGGGCGGAGAUGGUGGCAGCGUAUGGCUGCUGCUAUCGGCCAGAGUGAGCAGAGGAUAGAGGGAGAAGAAGGUAAGAGGAAGAAAGAGAUGUGUGGUUCCAGCAUUUUAGGUUUAAGGAUUUCAAAGGAUUUUGUAUAUUUUACUUUAGAAUAAUACUGGAAUAAUAUGGCCUUAUAUAUGGUGCAUAUUGUUCCAUAUUUCAUAUGAGGAUUUGAUUCCUCCUUAUUUCACUUUUUAUUUUCUCCAAGUAGGCGCGUCCUGUUGUGUUAAUGAAUGAGAUUAAGAGCCCCUGUAACUCAAUUUUGUAAUAUUGUUUGUGAGAGGAGAGAGAUGCAAUAUGAAUCUCCAACUGGGUGUCUAACACUUUGAUCAGUUAGUUAUAUGUGUUGUGCAUAUCUUAACCUAUGUGGCAUGUGGUUGUUGGAUA